GACGAACGCUGGCGGCGUGCCUAAUACAUGCAAGUCGAACGCUUCUUUUUCCACCGGAGCUUGCUCCACCGGAAAAAGAGGAGUGGCGAACGGGUGAGUAACACGUGGGUAACAUGCCCAUCAGAAGGGGAUAACACUUGGCAACAGGUGCUAAUACCGUAUAACAAUCAAAACCGCAUGGUUUUGAUUUGAAAGGCGCUUUCGGGUGUCGCUUAUGGAUGGACCCGCGGUGCAUUAGCUAGUUGGUGAGGUAACGGCUCACCAAGGCCACGAUGCAUAGCCGACCUGAGAGGGUGAUAGGCCACAUUAGGACUGAGACACGGCCCAAACUCCUACGGGAGGCAGCAGUAGGGAAUCUUCGGCAAUGGACGAAAGUCUGACCGAGCAACGCCGCGUGAGUGAAGAAGGUUUUCGGAUCGUAAAACUCUGUUGUUAGAGAAGAACAAGGAUGAGAGUAACUGUUCAUCCCUUGACGGUAUCUAACCAGAAAGCCACGGCUAACUACGUGCCAGCAGCCGCCGUAA
RNAcentral lists this ribosomal RNA (524 nucleotides) under uncultured bacterium. RNAcentral describes it as "partial 16S ribosomal RNA". It matches the Rfam family "Bacterial small subunit ribosomal RNA", at positions 28 to 523 of the family's 1533-position model. The record is from RNAcentral.